UUUUGGACAAUGGGCGCAAGCCUGAUCCAGCCAUUCCGCGUGAGUGAAGAAGGCCUUCGGGUUGUAAAGCUCUUUCGCAAGGGAAGAAAGAUUACUCUCUAACAUAGGGUGAUUAUGACGGUACCUUGAUAAGAAGCACCGGCUAACUACGUGCCAGCAGCCGCGGUAAUACGUAGGGUGCGAGCGUUAAUCGGAAUUACUGGGCGUAAAGCGUGCGCAGGCUGUUUUGUAAGUCAGAUGUGAAAUCCCCGAGCUCAACUUGGGAACUGCGUUUGAAACUACAAGACUAGAAUAUGUCAGAGGGGGGUAGAAUUCCACGUGUAGCAGUGAAAUGCGUAGAGAUGUGGAGGAAUAUCAAUGGCGAAGGCAGCCCCCUGGGAUAAUAUUGACGCUCAUGCACGAA
Molecule: ribosomal RNA, 403 nt
Filed under: uncultured bacterium
Lineage: Bacteria
Description: bacterial SSU rRNA
Rfam family: Bacterial small subunit ribosomal RNA
Source: RNAcentral